UAGCAUGUUUCCAAGAUUUAUUGCUGGUAGUGGCCAUGGGAUCUCCAGCUACAUGCUAGAGCAGCGUGGAGAGACUUUUGCAUUUUAGUACUAGUCCCUGCGACUGCCAUGUGCCUUUUUUUUUUUA
This is a small nucleolar RNA of Sorex fumeus (smoky shrew), 127 nucleotides long. RefSeq annotates it as small nucleolar RNA SNORA44. NCBI's taxonomy places the organism in Eukaryota, Metazoa, Chordata, Mammalia, Eulipotyphla, Soricidae. The transcript has a single exon. The record is from RefSeq and is a predicted model, not a curated record.